CCCUUAGAUGUCCUGGGCCGCACGCGUGCUACACUGACACCUGCAACGAGUUAUUCCGGCUCCGAAAGGCAGUUGGUAAUCAGAAAUAGGUGUCGUGAUGGGGAUAGACCCUUGGAAUUAUGGAUCUUGAACGAGGAAUGCCUAGUAAGCGCACGUCAUUAGCGUGCGCUGAUUAAGUCCCUGCCCUUUGUACACACCGCCCGUCGCUCCUACCGAUUUCGAGUGGUCCGGUGAGCCUUUUGGAGAGUGAGCGUCCUUGAGGCGCUUGCUCGAAGUCAGGCAAAUCUUACUACUUAGAGGAAGGAUAAGUCGUAACA
RNAcentral lists this ribosomal RNA (317 nucleotides) under uncultured eukaryote. RNAcentral's name for it is "partial 18S ribosomal RNA". It matches the Rfam family "Eukaryotic small subunit ribosomal RNA", at positions 1470 to 1796 of the family's 1831-position model. The record is from RNAcentral.